Salvelinus fontinalis (brook trout) is the source of this 4097-nucleotide long non-coding RNA. RefSeq lists it as uncharacterized. NCBI's taxonomy places the organism in Eukaryota, Metazoa, Chordata, Actinopteri, Salmoniformes, Salmonidae. The record is from RefSeq and is a predicted model, not a curated record. The transcript has 2 exons.
CGGAGCUGCCCUUCAGUCCAGAGCCGCCUCUCUGUCCGGAGCUGCUUUUCAGUCUGGAGUUGCCCCUCUGUCGUGAGCUACCUCUCUGUCGUGAGCUACCUCUCUGUCUUGAGCUACCUCUCUGUCCUGAGCUACCUCUCUGUCCUGAGCUAUCUCCUCUAUCUAGGGGGGGCCUUGGUGAAGGUUCCUAGACCAAGGUCGGGGGCGAGGGUCGCCACUCAAAGGACGCUAAGGAGGGGGACAAAGACAGUGGUAGAGUGGUGUCCUCGUCCUGCGCCGGAGCCGCCACCGCCACCGCGGACAGAUGCCCAGCCAGACCCUCCUUUUGAGUUUUAGGGGUGCGUUCAGAGUCCGCACCUCAGGAGGGGGGUACUGUAACGUCCUGACCAGAGUUUUUAUGUGUUUUGCUUGUUUAGUGUUGGUCAGGACGUGAGCUGGGUGGGAAUUCUAUGUUGUGUGUCUAGUUUGUCUGUUUCUGUGUCCAGCCUUAUAUGGUUCUCAAUCAGAGGCAGCUGUCAAUCGUUGUCCCUGAUUGAGAAUCAUAUAUAGGAGGCUUGUUUUGUGUUGGGAUUUUGUGGGUGAUUGUUUCCUGUCUCUGUGUUUGUGUUCUGCACCAGAUAGGUCUGUCUCGGUUUUCACAUUUAUUGUUUUGUUGUUUGUAGUGUUCACAUAUUCUUUAUUAAAUUAUGUUGAACACUAGCCGCGCUGCUUUUUGGUCCUCUCCUUCAUCCCAGGAAGAAAACCGUUACAACUUUAAAAACACCAGCUCCAAGUGAUUUUAAAUUAAGAAAUCUGUUCCCACGCAUAAUGGAGAGACACGUGAUCGUAUACAAAUGUAAAAAAGGUUUGAAAUUAUUAUGUUUUAGUCAAACCUUAUAUCUGUUUGGGCUUCUUGCGUUCAAUUUGCAGUCUACAAAUUAUUUUGUAAUUAUGCUCUGGCCCCCCGACCAUCCUCUCAAGAAAAAGUCGUCCCGCGGCUGAAUCUAGUUGAUGAUCCCUGGUUUAAUGGGUCCGUUUUAUUGUCAUCUGGCAUCUAUCAUUUUCUCACCUGACUUUACAUGGCUAAGCCUAAUAUCACGAGGGACAGCUGGUUGCUCGGUCACUUUUGCUAGCUGUAAUGUUAAAUCAUUAAAUCACCCAGUGAAACGUAAAAUGUUUUUUGCGCAUUUAAAUCAACUUAAUAAAUAUCGUCUUUCUUCAGGAGAAACAUAUCCGCAUUUUCGACCACUCUCGCUUAAAAAGAGGGUGGAUCAGUCAGUCAUAUCAUUCUAAUUUUCAUUCUAAAACUAGAGGAGCAGCCAUUUUAAUUAGUAAGAACAUACCGUUCGCAAUGUCAAGUGUAGAGGCAGACUCUGCAGGCCGUUUCAUUAUUGUAGUAGGAAGACCGUGUACUACACCUGUUAUCUUAGCAAACAUUUACGCACCAAAUUGGGACAACAGUUCAUUCUUCACAAAUGUACUUUCUCGAUUCCCAAAUAUGGAUGCCUAAUAUUAGAUGGUGAUAUGAAUUGUGUACUGUUCCCCAAUCAGUAUCGUAGCUCUCCUAGGGUAUCAUCUCCAGACUCGCAAUUAAUCUCUUAAAACAUAUGACUUAUAUGAUGCAUGGCAUUUCCGCAAUCCCACAGCUAGGGAGUAUUUUUUUUUCUCGACAGUUCAUAAGACCUUCUCACAUUUAGACCAAUUUUUCCUGGACAAUAGAUUUCUGAUUACCACGCUAUCGUCAUUUCGGAUCAUUCUCCCCUUACGACGAAGCUAAUUAUACCAAAUACACAGCCUAAUUAUCAUCCUUCGUGGUUUAACUCACUGCUGCUAUCAGAAGAAACAUUUGUUUGUUUUAUAUAAUCUCAAAUUGAGAUGCUUAAUCAAACCCCUGGAAUGUCUCCUACGACAGUAUGGGAAUCAAUGCAAGCCUAUCUAAGGGGUCAAAUUAUAUGUACAGCGCAAGAUUAAGGAAGUGCAAUAUUCAACGCCUUGGGGAAUUUACAAAUAAAAUCUUGGAUUUGGAUAUGGCAUAUUCACAGUCUUCAUCCCCAGACCUACUAAAACAAAGUUUGACACUUCAGAAGGAGUUUGAUCUUCUUUCAACUCGACAAACUGAAAAUCAUAUUAGUAAAUCUCGAUACCAAAAUUAUGAACAUGGAGUGAAAUCAGGGAAAAUUUUAGCACGUCAGGGAACAGCAAAUCAAACCAUACCUGAGAUAAAUGACGAGCUGGGUAAUGUAUUGAUCAUUAGUGAUCAAUUCAUGCUUUCAUAACUUUUACUCACAAUUGUGAGAGACCGGCUCAUAUCGGUUUUAUGUAGCAAAAUUUGAAAUUGUGUUUUUUACAUUGGAUAAAAGUAGACUGCAUUUUUGUGGAACAGUGGGAAAGUAAUUAUGCUUUGAAGUUGAUAAACUUGUAAACUUACUUUUGAGAAAAUGGCCUUUGAAUCUUUUGGUACCUACUGGAGAGCUCUCAUUUGUCUACACCCAUUCAGCAUUGUUCACACCCUCUUAACCCUUUCAUGCGUGAGUUCCAAAUAUUUCUAACGGUCGCCCCAGCGUGAGUUUUUUUAUGCACGUGAUGUUAGAACGUUCUCUCCAUUCCAGAAUGUGAUUGUUAUGUAACAGUACAUUUAACCUGCGCUGCCCUCAAACCAAAGCACGCAGCCUGUUUUAUUUGUCAAUUUAAAAUUAUUUUCUAACAAGUUUUUUAUUUUCUAAUAACAGUUUGAAAUGAUGUGUGUUUCGCCUUAUUCAUUCACAUAAAAGUAGUCAUUUUUACUUUUGCGGACCAAUUAAUUUUUGGGACAUUUCUGACCCGGACAAAAUUCCCCAAACACUUCUCAAUUGUUUGUGCAGGACAUUUACUCAUCUGCCGUCCUGCAUACACGUGUUCAUAUUUUCCACCUGUCGCCUGCAUCGAAAUCAAAGUUGUUUUCGUUACCAAUGAUACCUUUGGUAAUGUGUGCGUUUCUAUCAAAGUGCCUUAAUACGUUAUAAUAGUUUCUGCAUGUCGUGUUAUGUCGUUUCUACUGUAACGUCAUGUUUUUAUGUACAUUCCUUAUAACCGCGGACAGGCGAUGUAACGUUACUCAUUUCAUAACAUUUAUGGUGUUAUACUCAAUGCUUAGGUAUCUAGCUACAUUCUCCUAUUAGCUCUGGAAAACAAUGCUAAUUUCGUCAGGGAAGUAUUAGCAUGUGUUGUAUUUCGAAGCUACCCUGGCCUUAUGACUCCCAAGUGGCACAGCGUCUCAGCGCUAGAAGCGUCACUACAGAGACCCAUCUUCAAAUCAAGACUGCGUUUCUAUCAAAGUGGUCCACCUUCCCUGUGGCCAACAUGGUUGCUGUAUGGACAGUGGAGAGGACUUGGACGUCUCGUUUGUCAUGCCACUUUACUGCCAGCUGUUAACAUUUCUUAUUUUGUAUAACGGGUCAUUUAGGAUGGUAGUAGCGUUGAUGAAAUGCAGUCAUAGCAGCAGAACUAGAAAGCAGUCUUUACUGUCACCAGGAAUGUGUACAUUUCACAAAUUGUGGUUGUCCCCCACUCCUGGCUCUCUCUUCUCCUGUAGCUCCAAGGCAUAGUGAUUGGUCUCUACUAUGUCUCCCACCAGCUCCUCUGUCAGAAACAACUUGAAGCACUCUGCCUCAGUUGGAAAUGGCAAGGGGCGUUGCACUCCAGACUGGGACUCAUCAACACAAUCAGCAGGGCCAGGAGGGAUGAAAUGGCUGGCAGCCUUCCAGCUACCACAGAACUGUACUUCAUCCACUGUCAGUCUGCCACCAUCACCACCAGCAUCUUCAAAGGGACCUGGGACUUCGUCAGUGGACAAGGGAAAUUCAGAUUCAGGGUUCUCAGUGGCUACAAGGUUGGGGGGCAGCUCCUCACUCAGUCAGAAUCUGAUUCCUGACUUUCAUACUCUGACUCAUUGUCAGAAUUUUUAAAAAAUCUCCAUAAUUUCCACAUUUGUUUGUUGUCUCCUUUUGAAAGAUUGCUAAUGCUUCAGCUUAGCUCACUAGCUACAUACAUAAACAACAACACUGAAUGGUUUACAGUGAGAGGGUACGUGGUUGACUGCCGGCACGCGCCACUUGUAUCAAUAAAUCACUAUCAGAAAA